Mauremys reevesii (Reeves's turtle) is the source of this 777-nucleotide long non-coding RNA. RefSeq lists it as uncharacterized. NCBI's taxonomy places the organism in Eukaryota, Metazoa, Chordata, Testudines, Geoemydidae. The record is from RefSeq and is a predicted model, not a curated record. The transcript is spliced from 5 exons.
UGCAUCUCACAAGGCAGUACAGAAAGAUAAGGUGUGACUAUGCACUAUUUUUCCCCUUUCAGGGUCUCUACUGGUGCUCAGGGAAUUCAGUAUGUGGUAUAAUGGCUGCACAAGUAGGGGAAGGGCACCCAUGCAGAACUGACAAUCCUUAUCUACAUUAAUGGGAGCAUCCUGCACCGAUUUCUAUACCAGAUUUAACCAACAUAUGGCAUGCAAAAUACAGGCCAAUGUUGGAGACCCAGGAAACCAAGGAGAGCGCCCACAGAAUUUGAAGUUUUCCUGGUGACCCUUAUCCAGAUCUAAGCAGUGUCAUGUGGGUCUCUGGGAACAGAACUGAAGAGAUAAUUGGCAGCUGCGCUCAAGAACAACUGUAACAUCAGCAAAAUAGAAGUCAGAGAUGACCUGAGUACAAAAUGGCUGUUGAACUGAAUUGAAAACACACAUUUCAUCCAGUGUUUUCUUAGCAUAGUAUAUCACUAUUAUGAAAGUGGCACCGAGACUACUUAAAGAGAGAGAUAAAAUGAGUGUGCUCUAUAGCCUUAUCUAACAACCAGCUGGCUUUUAGCUCAUGCGGUGGAGGUUCAUGCAUUUUGCUUCAGAGGCCCCGGGUUCGAUCCUGCCAGCUGACAACAAGACAUAGAAUUCAUAUCUGAUAGAUGACUUACAUUUCAGAUGUUUAGGCUCCAGUCUGCUAGUAUACACACCUAUGUUAGUAUGGAUUUCUCAGUGAGGUUUGUGAUGAUGUAUCCUGAUGCAGAAUUUUGGCCUUAAGUGGGG